Long non-coding RNA from Leucoraja erinaceus (little skate), 3094 nucleotides. RefSeq lists it as uncharacterized. NCBI's taxonomy places the organism in Eukaryota, Metazoa, Chordata, Chondrichthyes, Rajiformes, Rajidae. The transcript is spliced from 3 exons. The record is from RefSeq and is a predicted model, not a curated record.
UAAUGGUGGUUUGGGAGGUUAUUUACCACUAAGGGGCACGGAAACGACGGUUGCUUCGUCAACGGUCUGUCUUCGACUUUUCCUUCUUUGUGUUUUUAGUUUGUUGUAAAAUGUAUGUUUAUCUUUAGUUUUGUAUUUGUGGGGGUGGUGGGGGAAACUUUUCUUGCCUCUUUACUCAUCGGAGAUGCGACUUUUUCCAUGUCGUAUCUCCGUCUGCGCGGCGGCUUAACAUCGUGGAGCUGGCGACCUCUUGUUUGGGAUUUAUCGAGCUCCAAAACCGUGGAGCCUGCGGACUUUACCAUCUCGGAGCGGGUGAUCCCUUUGCAGGGGUCAUCCUUUGGUGUUCCAUCCUGCGGGAGCUACGGACUUUAACAUCAUGAAACACGCAGUCCCUGGCUAGGGACCGAUUUUGGGUUCUCCAAGCCGCAGCAGUUUCGACCAUCCCAAUGCAGGAGGUUAGACUGCCCCAAUGCGGGAGUUCGAUCGCCGUUGCGGAUGGUUCGACUUGCCCGACCGUGGGAGGAAAGGAGGAAAGAUGAUAAGACUUUAUUGCCUUCCAUCAAAGUGGGGAAUGUGGAGGAGCCGGUGUGGUGAAUGUUUAUGUCAAAUGUUUAUGUGGUUAUGUGUCUUGUUGCUUUUUUGUUAUGACUGUAUGGCAAACCAAAUUCUUUGUAUGUUGCAAAUUACAAUUAUGAUUAUUAUGAUUAUUUGCCCACUAUAAAUUUGCCCCUUGUGAUCAGGAGAGUGGUAGUUGAUGGGCACAUGGGGAAGGGUAACAUGUGUUUAAUAUAAGAUUAGAGCAAAUGGGUACUUGGCAGUUGGUGUGGAUUUGCUGAGCCAAAGUACCAUGUUCUGAGCUGUAUAACCCAGUGAGUCAAUGAUACCCACUUGCCCAUGAAGGGAAAGUGCAAAUUCUGGAUAAACAGAAGUCUAACCCGGUCCCAGGAGCUCUGCGUCAGCAGAACUAGUUAGCUGCACUACAAGGCCACCCUUAGUCACUCCAUUUUAAACACUUUUUUGAUUGUUAGGUCUAUUGAAGAAACAACAACUUUGAUUCAUGGCAAAUUAUGAUUGUGGCUUGGAUGCCUGUCGAAGAUUUCUUAGUAGUUCCUUGUCUUGGUAAUGAACACCUCUUCUUGGGCACAGGUGCAGUGAAGACGGAGGAAUUGGUAGGGGAUAAAGUCUUUGCGGGAGGCGGGAUAGGAAGAAGUUUAGUCUAGAUAGCUGUGGGAGUCAGUAGGUUCAUAAUAGAUGUCAGUCAAUAGUCUACCUCCUGUGAUGGAGACAGUGAGAUCAAGAAAUGGAAGGGAGAUGUCGGAGAUGGUCCAAGUGCAUCUGAGUGUAGGAUGGAAAUUGGUAGUGAUUUGAGUGCAGGAUGGAUAAACUCUGGUAAACCUCUUCUUUACCUCUUGACAUUGUCUACAUCCUUCCUGUAAUGUGGUGACAAGAGCUUCACGUAAUACUACAAAUGUGGCCUAACCAAAGAUCUAUAAAGCUGCAUCAUUACUUCAUAACUCUUAUACUCAAUGACCCUAACCAAUGAAGGCAUAUGCUUUCUUUACCACUGCCCAACUAAACAAAACGUGUUCAUUCAUUUUACACCUGAAAGUUCCAAUCUUCCUCUGUAUCUAUGUACCAGAGAAGUGGAAACUAAUAUUGAGAUCAGCUUUUUUUGUGAAGUCUGCAACAUUAACUCUCCUGUCACUAUGUUGUCCAAUUUCCUGAAUAUCUACUGUAGCAUAUAUCCAGAAUCUACAGUAUAUUAGGGUGUCAGGGGUUAUGGGGAGAAGGCAGGAUAAUGGGGUUAGGAGGGAGAGGUAGAUCAGCUAUGAUUGAAUGGUGGAGUAGACUUGAUGGGCCGAAUGGCCUAAUUCUACUCCUUUCACUUACAUUAUAAUUUCCCAGGUAGACAGAAAUGCUGGAGGAACUCAGCGGGUGAGGCAGCAGCUGUGGAGAGAAGGAAUAGGCGACGUUUCGGGUCGAGACCCUUCUUCAGUUAUUUUUCUGUCUGUUUAUUCUCUGCAAAGGGGGUUGCGACCGUAGGCGCUGGUGGGCAAAGAUCUCUUUGCUGGUUAGGAAGGAUGAAGCCCAGACCCGGUACCCGGUCUUGCAGGACUCUCGCUGCUGGGGGAGGGUGCUGGCACAAUGUUGGUUGCUAUUAGUCAAAGCUAGAGUCAAUCAUAGCACCGCGCCGCCCCUCUACUCUUCACAACGCGCCUUCCGGCAACUUCCUUGCCGCUUCAUUUCGAACUUGUUCCUGGACCUGGUCUGUUUUGCAACUUGGGAGCUUGUCAGAGGGUUGAUCGGCUGUUUGCCGGCAGAGGAUCAAUUGGAUAAAGUGGAUCCUUCUUGGCAGUUAAUCUGGAAGACUCUGUGACACUGAUUUUCUGUCAGAACCUGACUGGACCACCAGGUCUUUUUCCCUGAGUUUAUCCUGUACUGUUGAUACUAGAUUGCACAGGAACUUGAAGCCUUCGAUCAUUUCCACCAGUGAUGCAAACUGGGACAUGUUCUUCACCCUGCUUCCUGAAGCUGACGACUAGCUUCUUCAUCUUGCUGAUGGAUUUGAUCACGUUUUAAACCAUAUACAGGUGCACAACCUUUUAUCCGAAAGCCUUGGGACCAGACACUUGUCGGAUUUCGGACAUUUUCGGAUUUCCGAAUGGAAGAUUUUUAGCGUAGAUUAGGUAGGUAGCGCAGGCGGCUUGACCCCCCCCCCCCAUCUAUCCUGUACUGAUCUUCCCAUUCAUCUUUUACUGAUACACCCCAUUCAUCCUGUACUGAUCCCCUCAUUCAUCCUGUAGUGAUCCCCUCCCCAUCCAGCCUGUAGUGAGCCACCCAUUCAUCCUGCACAGACCCUCCGAUCCACACUGUACUGACACCCCCCCCGAUUCACCCUGUACUGAACCACCCAUUCAUCCUGCAUUGAUUCCCCCCCCCAUGCAGCGCGCACUGAUCCUCCCAUUCAAGAAGAAUGGGGGGGAUCAGUCUGAAGAAGGGUCUCGACCCGAAACGUUGCCCAUUUCCUUCGCUCCAUGGAUGCUGCCUCAGCUGCUGAAUUUCUUCUGCAUUUUUGUCUACCCCCAUUCAUCCU